Long non-coding RNA from Canis lupus familiaris (dog), 392 nucleotides. RefSeq lists it as uncharacterized. The record is from RefSeq and is a predicted model, not a curated record. The transcript is spliced from 3 exons. Lineage: Eukaryota; Metazoa; Chordata; Mammalia; Carnivora; Canidae.
GGCCGGCCUGGAAGGGGUUCCGGAGCGAAGGUUUGGAGGGAAAGCUCUCGUCUCGCCUGAGUCCAGCGCUGGCCUGGCAAUUACCUGACAAUGAUCAGAAUUAGCAGGAGAAAAGACAGAUAGCAAACUGAGAUCCCAGCAAGGACGGCGUGAGGUCCCACCUGUCAGCUCAGCUAAUGGACAAGGGAGCUCAUCUGGGUGCACGUGGGGAAGAGGACAGUGGAGACUAGAUGUAAGCCCCUAAGAAGAUGCACAUCUGCAGAUACAGUUCCUUUUGGGAGAACAAGAAAACAGAUGGCAGAGGUGCUGAAUCCUAUAUUCUCCCUUUUGGAAAGUCACAGCUACCGGGGCUGAGAAUGUAAGAGCCCCCACCACCCACCACCCACCCCCGC